This 413-nucleotide ribosomal RNA is filed under the name uncultured bacterium. RNAcentral describes it as "bacterial SSU rRNA". It matches the Rfam family "Bacterial small subunit ribosomal RNA", at positions 945 to 1359 of the family's 1533-position model. The record is from RNAcentral.
AUUAAUUCGAUGCAACGCGAAGAACCUUACCUGGGUUUGACAUAUACCGGAAAGCUGCAGAGAUGUAGCCCCCGCAAGGUCGGUAUACAGGUGGUGCAUGGCUGUCGUCAGCUCGUGUCGUGAGAUGUUGGGUUAAGUCCCGCAACGAGCGCAACCCUCGUCCUAUGUUGCCAGCGGAUAAUGCCGGGGACUCAUAGGAGACUGCCGGGGUCAACUCGGAGGAAGGUGGGGAUGACGUCAAGUCAUCAUGCCCCUUAUGUCCAGGGCUUCACGCAUGCUACAAUGGCUGGUACAAAGGGCUGCAAAACCGCAAGGUCGAGCGAAUCCCAAAAAGCCAGUCUCAGUUCGGAUUGGGGUCUGCAACUCGACCCCAUGAAGUCGGAGUCGCUAGUAAUCGCAGAUCAGCAACGCUG